RNAcentral lists this ribosomal RNA (596 nucleotides) under Shigella sonnei. RNAcentral describes it as "partial 23S ribosomal RNA". It matches the Rfam family "Bacterial large subunit ribosomal RNA", at positions 319 to 920 of the family's 2925-position model. Lineage: Bacteria; Pseudomonadati; Pseudomonadota; Gammaproteobacteria; Enterobacterales; Enterobacteriaceae. The record is from RNAcentral.
AGUGUGUGUGUUAGUGGAAGCGUCUGGAAAGGCGUGCGAUACAGGGUGACAGCCCCGUACACAAAAAUGCACAUAUUGUGAGCUUGAUGAGUAGGGCGGGACACGUGGUAUCCUGUCUGAAUAUGGGGGGACCAUCCUCCAAGGCUAAAUACUCCUGACUGACCGAUAGUGAACCAGUACCGUGAGGGAAAGGCGAAAAGAACCCCGGCGAGGGGAGUGAAAAAGAACCUGAAACCGUGUACGUACAAGCAGUGGGAGCACGCUUAGGCGUGUGACUGCGUACCUUUUGUAUAAUGGGUCAGCGACUUAUAUUCUGUAGCAAGGUUAACCGAAUAGGGGAGCCGAAGGGAAACCGAGUCUUAACUGGGCGUUAAGUUGCAGGGUAUAGACCCGAAACCCGGUGAUCUAGCCAUGGGCAGGUUGAAGGUUGGGUAACACUAACUGGAGGACCGAACCGACUAAUGUUGAAAAAUUAGCGGAUGACUUGUGGCUGGGGGUGAAAGGCCAAUCAAACCGGGAGAUAGCUGGUUCUCCCCGAAAGCUAUUUAGGUAGCGCCUCGUGAAUUCAUCUCCGGGGGUAGAGCACUGUUUCGGCA